UAAAGGUGCUUUGGUUAUGAU
This 21-nucleotide non-coding RNA is filed under the name Arabidopsis thaliana (thale cress). Lineage: Eukaryota; Viridiplantae; Streptophyta; Magnoliopsida; Brassicales; Brassicaceae. The record is from RNAcentral.